GACAACAUUCGCCUCUACAACUGCCCCGUCCUCGAAGCGCCAGUGCUCUCGGCUGGAUCAGACUACGAGAACCCGGAUACGAACGGCUCCUUCACUCUCAACUGGACACGCCCCACCGGCGCCAGCGGCCCGGAAGUCGUGCAGGAAUCCACCACCUCGUGUGCUCCGUUGAU
RNAcentral lists this unclassified non-coding RNA (173 nucleotides) under plant metagenome. RNAcentral describes it as "partial contains 5.8S ribosomal RNA, internal transcribed spacer 2, and large subunit ribosomal RNA". The record is from RNAcentral.